AUUGAACGCUGGCGGCAUGCCUUACACAUGCAAGUCGAACGGCAGCACGGGAGCAAUCCUGGUGGCGAGUGGCGAACGGGUGAGUAAUGUAUCGGAACGUGCCCAGUCGUGGGGGAUAACGCAGCGAAAGCUGUGCUAAUACCGCAUACGAUCUAUGGAUGAAAGCGGGGGAUCGCAAGACCUCGCGCGAUUGGAGCGGCCGAUAUCAGAUUAGGUAGUUGGUGGGGUAAAGGCCCACCAAGCCUGCGAUCUGUAGCUGGUCUGAGAGGACGAUCAGCCACACUGGGACUGAGACACGGCCCAGACUCCUACGGGAGGCAGCAGUGGGGAAUUUUGGACAAUGGGCGCAAGCCUGAUCCAGCAAUGCCGCGUGCAGGAUGAAGGCCUUCGGGUUGUAAACUGCUUUUGUACGAGACGAAAAGACUCGCUCUAAUACAGUGGGUACAUGACGGUAUCGUAAGAAUAAGCACCGGCUAACUACGUGCCAGCCGCCGCAGUAA
Molecule: ribosomal RNA, 500 nt
Filed under: uncultured bacterium
Lineage: Bacteria
Description: partial 16S ribosomal RNA
Rfam family: Bacterial small subunit ribosomal RNA
Source: RNAcentral